RNAcentral lists this ribosomal RNA (461 nucleotides) under uncultured beta proteobacterium. RNAcentral describes it as "bacterial SSU rRNA". It matches the Rfam family "Bacterial small subunit ribosomal RNA", at positions 190 to 642 of the family's 1533-position model. Lineage: Bacteria; Pseudomonadati; Pseudomonadota; Betaproteobacteria. The record is from RNAcentral.
AGGAAAGUAGGGGAUCGCAAGACCUUGCGCUUUUGGAGCGGCCGAUGUCUGAUUAGCUAGUUGGUGAGGUAAAGGCUUACCAAGGCUUCGAUCAGUAGCUGGUCUGAGAGGACGACCAGCCACACUGGGACUGAGACACGGCCCAAACUCCUACGGGAGGCAGCAGUGGGGAAUUUUGGACAAUGGGGGAAACCCUGAUCCAGCCAUGCCGCGUGAGUGAAGAAGGCCUUCGGGUUGUAAAGCUCUUUCAGCCGGAACGAAAAGGUUACGGUUAAUACCCGUGACUAAUGACGGUACCGGAAGAAGAAGCGCCGGCUAACUACGUGCCAGCAGCCGCGGUAAUACGUAGGGUGCGAGCGUUAAUCGGAAUUACUGGGCGUAAAGCGUGCGCAGGCGGUUUUGUAAGUCAGAUGUGAAAUCCCCGGGCUCAACCUGGGAACUGCGUUUGAAACUACAAAGCU